UUCUCUGUGUGUUUUGAGCCCCUGAGCGAACUUUAUUCUUUUAGACCCAAAAUCCAAACAGGGAUGUUUCUACAUAGAUAGGACAGAGUAGAGAGAAGGAUCAGGGUCUCAUUGCUACUUAUUUUGCUUGUAGUCUAGUAGUGCCUACUGCUAUCUGUGUCUCCAAGUGAAGGAGCAAUGGCUUUUCUCCCAGGUAGGCUCCUUGUUCUCCUAGUUUGUGUUGGCCUUUUAGCCAUGGAACGAGGAUUUGUCCAUGGCCUUAGAAGUAUAGACCUUGUCCAUAGGCCAAGUUCAGGGCAUGGCCUAGCAGCAAAGAAGCCAGACAUCCUAAAGAACAUUAACGUCACAAACUUGAACACCAACAAGAGAUCAGCUUUAGCAUCUUCAUCGUUCCACUAUAGCCGAAUGAGCAAGAGAAGAGUUCGAAGAGGGUCUGAUCCAAUCCAUAAUAGGAGCUGAUUCUAUAGCAUCUUACUGCUGUAUUGCGGAGCUGCCACACCGAAACUUCAUCGAGCAAGCAACAUGAACCUGGAAAUGUCCAUGUGUUGUGAAGAAGUUACAAGGUUUUAUUAAGAUUCCAUUUCUUUUCUUUCUUUCCUCAUCUGGUUUUGUUACAGAGAAAUUUGUACAGAGAUGGUAUGGACAAGACGCUGAGUAUUCUCUGUUCUGUUAUUAAGUGAGUAGAAGAUUAGAAGGUGAUGCAGGAUGCUGUUGGAUCUCAAAGGUUGCCAAAUCAAGUAGAUUGUUUUGUUACAAAAGAGAGGCAGGACUGAUUUAUGUCAAAUUUCUGCCACUCUCGCAUAUUAUUGUGAAAUAUAGGAAUUCUUUCAUGCUGUGUUAUUAUGAAUAGAGUUAAUCAAUUUGGGCAUUAGUAGUCCAAAGAAAUCAGAUUGGCUUGCUCUUUUUCUUUUUCUUGCAUUCUUCUAGGACUUCAAGAUUUGAUUGCUUCAAAAUUUAAGACAACUUCAAACAGAGUCUGUCAUUUGAGGACAUCACACAAUGUUCUUUUCUAGUUGCCCG
Molecule: long non-coding RNA, 1020 nt
Filed under: Elaeis guineensis (African oil palm)
Lineage: Eukaryota; Viridiplantae; Streptophyta; Magnoliopsida; Arecales; Arecaceae
Description: long non-coding RNA (EGUI_LNC016734)
Source: RNAcentral